RNAcentral lists this non-coding RNA (437 nucleotides) under Pongo abelii (Sumatran orangutan). The record is from RNAcentral. Lineage: Eukaryota; Metazoa; Chordata; Mammalia; Primates; Hominidae.
AGCGGCUCUUCUUUCUUCCUCUCUGAGACAAGAACACAUGCACUUUUCCUGUAAGUGUUGUCUCCCCAGUUAUUCUGGAGACCAUCCAGAAGAGAAUGAGAAUAAAGAAACGAACAGAAGAAAGACGAAGAAGGAAGAAUAAAAGAUACCAAAAUGACAGUACCGCUUGCUUCAGAGAGUUUCGCUCUUGUGGCCCAGUCUGGAGUGCAGUGGCGCCAUCUCAGCUCAUUGCAACCUCUGCCUCCCGGGUCCAAGCGACUCUCCUGCCUCAGCCUCCCGAGUAGCUGGGAUUACAGGCACCCGCCACCACGCCCAGCUAAGUUUUUGUAGUUUUAGUAGAGACGGGGGUUUCACCAUGUUAGCCAGGAUGGUCUCGAUCUCCUGACCUCGUGAUCUGCCUGCCUCGGCCUCCCAAAGUGCUGGGAUUACAGGCGUGA